Molecule: long non-coding RNA, 881 nt
Organism: Symsagittifera roscoffensis
Lineage: Eukaryota; Metazoa; Xenacoelomorpha; Acoela; Convolutidae
Exons: 4
Source: RefSeq, a predicted model, not a curated record
AAGCGACCUAAAGUCGAACCAAUUAUUAGACUAUUUGACUCAAACAUAGAUUUACGAGGUACCGAGAGGCGUUUGCUAAAAGAAAUUCUCAGCUAUUGUAUUUAUAUAAAAUGUUUUCUAACCAUAAGUCGAUAGGUCAAACUCGUGUGUUUAGAGAAACCUAUUAUAUUCGUUUGUAAUUUGAUUGGUGGCAUACCUAUUAAGCUCGAAAAAAAUUCAUAAUUUAUAACUUGAUGUUAUCUUUUGUCUGCAGAAAUGCUGCUUUGUUCUUUUUGUUCUGAUAUGGACUUCUACAUUACAAUCAUCAGAUGCAGUGAGUGUGUUCUGCUGGAAGUGUGAGGAUGGGGAGGACUGUUGCGACAACUGGGCCGGGCUCCCCUUCUGCUGCCCCUCCACUCAAUUGACUGACUCAGGUUCAGUGUCCUCUGCGUACUACUGUGUGAACAACGAUGACUGCCCCACCCUGUUCGAUCGCAGCCGGCUGGGGGAGGAGGAGGCGUCCGAUCUGGACCACUGUUGUCAGCUGACUCACAAGUGUUGCGACACCUGGGACUCCUUGGAAGACAAACUCAACACACUCGCUGCAUCUUUCGGAGGAUUGGUACCCUUCUUGCUCGGGGUCAUCUGUGUCAGUCUGUUCCUCCUCGUGGCCUUCUGUUGCAUCUGCUGCAGAAUCAUCUGCUGCAGGGGAGACGGAUACAAAUGACGACACCAUGUCACACCAUGUCAUCAGAUGCACAAAUAGACGACAUUUUAGUUAUUACACAAUUAGCAGUUACGAAAAAACUUAUGUUACCAAUUAUUUAAACGAUUACUUAGAAACUUUUAAUCCAGAUUUAGAAAAGUUUAUAUAAAAUAUAUAUUAAGGUACUGAGCGAACA